Non-coding RNA from Paramuricea clavata, 587 nucleotides. The record is from the annotation of a GenBank genome assembly. Lineage: Eukaryota; Metazoa; Cnidaria; Anthozoa; Malacalcyonacea; Plexauridae.
CUUUAAAGCAAUGUGUCCAUGAACAGCUUGACAAUGUGUCAAAACACAACACAAUUUAUUUGUUUACAUCUUGAUAAGAUAACAACAAAUGUUCCCCAAAAUUAGCGGAAUGUUCUAUUGGUUUAUUAUAAAACCUUUGGAAUGUGGUUUCACUGGACCAUCCAGCUGCUUUCAUAAUAAUAUCAAUUGGCAGUUUUGUAGAGGAUGCUGCAGAUGUGGAUGCAGAACGAGUGCUGUGUGCACCAUAACAACUUGUAUCAAUACCAGCUUUCCCCAUUAUAGUUUUGAUCCACCUUGCAAUAGUAUCUUUGCUUACUGGCUUAUGUGGUUUGUUAAAACUAAGCCAUAACUCAUUAUUUCCAUCUCUCACCACACUUGUUUUAAGCAAAUAUUGCUUGAGGCAUGUCACCACACACAGAAGCUUGUCAGCUGGGUAUGCUUUAAAUACUAGUGGUUUAAGAUGCUUUCCAGGCUUGGAAGUCUUUAGCAGAGUAUUAAUUUCAAAUGUAAUUUGGUUAUCCAAUUGUUUCAUACCACUCAAUGUGAAUGCAUGUACUGUUUGACACCGCUGACCAGAUAACAAAACU